This 253-nucleotide ribosomal RNA is filed under the name uncultured bacterium. Its description in RNAcentral is "partial 16S ribosomal RNA". It matches the Rfam family "Bacterial small subunit ribosomal RNA", at positions 524 to 776 of the family's 1533-position model. The record is from RNAcentral.
UACGUAGGUGGCAAGCGUUGUCCGGAUUUACUGGGCGUAAAGAGCGCGCAGGCGGUCGUUCAAGUCGCGUGUGAAAGCCCCCGGCUCAACUGGGGAGGGUCACGCGAUACUGAUCGACUCGAAGGCAGGAGAGGGUAGUGGAAUUCUCGGUGUAGAGGUGAAAUUCGUAGAUAUCGAGAGGAACACCGGUGGCGAAGGCGGCCUUCUGGACAGUGACUGACGCUGAGGAACGAAAGCGUGGGAAGCGAACAGG